This 916-nucleotide ribosomal RNA is filed under the name uncultured archaeon. Its description in RNAcentral is "bacterial SSU rRNA". It matches the Rfam family "Archaeal small subunit ribosomal RNA", at positions 1 to 921 of the family's 1478-position model. The record is from RNAcentral.
UUCCGGUUGAUCCUGCCGGACCUGACUGCUAUCGGAUUAAUACUAUGCCAUGCGAGUUUUUGUAGUAAUACAAGGCAUACGGCUCAGUAACACGUAGUCAACCUACCCUAUGGACGAGGAUAAUCUCGGGAAACUGAGCAUAAUACUCGAUAGAUCAUAAUGCCUGGAAUGGUUUAUGGUUGAAAUGAUUCGUUCGCCAUAGGAUGGGACUGCGGCCUAUCAGCUUGUUGGUGGGGUAAUGGCCCACCAAGGCGAUUACAGGUACGGGCUCUGAGAGGAGAAGCCCGGAGAUGGGUACUGAGACACGGACCCAGGCCCUAUGGGGCGCAGCAGGCGAGAAAACUUUGCAAUGUGCGAAAGCACGACAAGGUUAGUCCGAGUGAUUUCUGCUAAAGAAAUCUUUUGCAAGUCAUAAAACCACUAGUGAAUAAGGGGUGGGCAAGUUCUGGUGUCAGCCGCCGCGGUAAAACCAGCACCUCAAGUGGUCAGGAGGAUUAUUGGGCCUAAAGCAUCCGUAGCCGGCUUUGUUAGUUUUCGGUUAAAUCCAUGCGCUCAACGUAUGGGCUGCCGAGAAUACUGCAUAGCUAGGGAGUGGGAGAGGUAGACGGUACUCGGUAGGAAGGGGUAAAAUCCUUUGAUCUAUCGAUGACCACCUGUGGCGAAGGCGGUCUACCAGAACACAUUCGACGGUGAGGGAUGAAAGCUGGGGGAGCAAACCGGAUUAGAUACCCGGGUAGUCCCAGCUGUAAACGAUGCAGACUCGAUGAUGCAUUGGCAUAUAGCCAGUGCAGUGUCGCAUGGAAGCCGUUAAGUCUGCCGCCUGUGAAGUACGUACGCAAGUAUGAAACUUAAAGGAAUUGGUCGGGGGGAGCACCACAUGGGGUGAAGCCUGCGGUUCAAUUGGAGUCAACGCCGG